Molecule: ribosomal RNA, 480 nt
Filed under: Hansenula anomala
Lineage: Eukaryota; Fungi; Ascomycota; Saccharomycetes; Phaffomycetales; Wickerhamomycetaceae
Description: eukaryotic LSU rRNA
Rfam family: Eukaryotic large subunit ribosomal RNA
Source: RNAcentral
CUCAAAUUUGAAAUCUAGCACUUCGGUGUUUGAGUUGUAAUUUGAAGAUGGUAACCUUGGGUUUGGCUCUUGUCUAUGUUCCUUGGAACAGGACGUCAUAGAGGGUGAGAAUCCCGUCUGAUGAGAUGCCCAUUCCUAUGUAAGGUGCUAUCGAAGAGUCGAGUUGUUUGGGAAUGCAGCUCUAAGUGGGUGGUAAAUUCCAUCUAAAGCUAAAUAUUGGCGAGAGACCGAUAGCGAACAAGUACAGUGAUGGAAAGAUGAAAAGAACUUUGAAAAGAGAGUGAAAAAGUACGUGAAAUUGUUGAAAGGGAAGGGCAUUAGAUCAGACUUGGUGUUUUACGAUUAUCUUCUCUUCUUGAGUUGUGCACUCGUAUUUCACUGGGCCAGCAUCGAUUCGGAUGGCAAGAUAAUGGCAGUCGAAUGUGGCUUCAGCUUCGGUGGAGUGUUAUAGCUUCUGCUGAUAUUGCCUGUCCUGNGAUC